Molecule: ribosomal RNA, 1437 nt
Filed under: Triticum aestivum (bread wheat)
Lineage: Eukaryota; Viridiplantae; Streptophyta; Magnoliopsida; Poales; Poaceae
Description: partial small subunit ribosomal RNA
Source: RNAcentral
GGCAAAGGGCUAGCAAUGGCUAAGUUGUUUGGUAAUUGGGAUGAUUCUUUUGACAAGCUAUAUGCUUGGAAAGCUGAGGUUGAGAAGAGGUCCCCUGGAAGUAUAGUUACGAUUGACCACAUGGAGUAUGAUCAGAAAAAAUAUUUCAUACGGAUGUUUGUUGGGCUGAAGCCUUUGUGCGAUGGGUUCUUGGCUGGAUGCAGACCUUACUUGGCGAUAGAUAGCACUCAUUUGACAGGCAAGUAUAGAGGCCAAUUAGCUACUGCUUGUGCUAUUGACGGGCACAAUUGGUUGUACCCUGUAGUCUAUGGAGUUAUCGACUCGGAAACUACUGAAAGUUGGGUGUGGUUUAUGGAGAAGCUUCGUGAAGCUAUUGGCUCUCCCGGUCUAGCUAUAUGUUCAGAUGCAGGAAAAGGGAUUGACACUGCAAUCGAACAGGUAUUUGGGUAUGCUGAACAUAGAGAAUGCAUGCGACACUUGGUUGUGAACUUCAAGAAAAAAUUCCAUGGUAAAGUUUUUGAUGAUCAUUUGUGGCCAGCUGCUUAUUCAUGGACUCCUCGAGGGUUUGACUAUCACAUGGCAGCCAUAGAGGAGAAAAAGGCUGCUGCAAUAGCAUACUUAAACAAGUACCACACCAGGCUAUGGUCAAGGAGCAAAUAUUCAACCUCCUCAAAAGUGGAUUAUGUGACAAAUAAUUUGGCCGAGUGUUUCAACAGCUGGAUCCGCAAGCACAAAGGUUUAAUGUUGUUUCAGCUCAUGGACAAGAUAAGGAGAAAGAUUACGGUUAAGUUUGAGAAGAGGAGAAGGGUAGCUAGAAAAUUUCAAGGUCGGCGUAUACUUCCAAGUGUCAUGAAGGAGUUGAAUGACAUAAGUAGGGGGCUGGACAUUGAAUAUGAGAGAAUAGAUGACAUGAUUGCAGAAGUGAGUGAGAGUGUUGCGCUAGGUGGCAAGCGCCACGUCACUGAUCUAGCAAACAGGACAUGCACAUGCAGGGCAUUUCAAGUCUCCGGGAAGCCUUGCAAACAUGCAAUUAGCUUUAUUACUGGAAUUAGGGGGGUCACAAUAGAAGACUUCGUUGAUGAUUGUUACGGCAUUGUCAAGUUUGCUGCAGCUUAUGCUCCUAUUCUUCCUGGCCUAACCGACAUGUCUCAAUGGCCAAGUGUGAACAAAGAAUUCUUCUUGAACCCCCCAAUCCUUAGGAGGGCCCAUGGGAGGCCAAAGGUACAGAGGCACAAAAGUGGUGCUGAAAAUAGCAAGGGAAAGGGAAAGAAAGGCCAACACCAAUGUCCAAUUUGCAAAGCUUAUGGACAUAGAUGGCAAAGCUGCAAAGAUGCUGCUCCUGAAGCACUAGAAGCCUAUGCAGAAGUAGCAAAGCAGAAAAGGUACUUUCUAUUUCAAUAUGAGAUUUCUGUUCCACCUUACUCUUGUCUUAAUUAA